This 379-nucleotide RNase P RNA is filed under the name uncultured Scrofimicrobium sp. RNAcentral's name for it is "Bacterial RNase P class A". It matches the Rfam family "Bacterial RNase P class A". Rfam says of the family: Ribonuclease P (RNase P) is a ubiquitous endoribonuclease, found in archaea, bacteria and eukarya as well as chloroplasts and mitochondria. Its best characterised activity is the generation of mature 5'-ends of tRNAs by cleaving the 5'-leader elements of precursor-tRNAs. The record is from RNAcentral. Lineage: Bacteria; Bacillati; Actinomycetota; Actinomycetes; Actinomycetales; Actinomycetaceae.
GAGUUGGCCAGGCAGCCGCGGGGACCGGGUUAUAGACCCGGUUCACGAGGAACGUCCGGGCACCUCAGGGCAAAGUGGUGGCUAACAGCCACCCGGGGCGACCCGCGGGAAAGUGCCACAGAAAACAGACCGCCAGCUUCCCGAUCUAAUCGGGGAACUGGUAAGGGUGAAACGGUGCGGUAAGAGCGCACCAGCAGCCAGGGUGACCUGGCUGGCUUGGUAAACCCCACUUGGUGCAAGGUCAAGCAGAAGGCCGGAGCUGCCCGCUCCUUACCUUCGGGUAGACCGCUUGAGACUUGCGGUAACGCAAGUCCUAGAUGAAUGGUUGCCGGCACGGUGGUUCAUCGUGCUAACAGAACCCGGCGUAUCGGCCAACUCA